RNAcentral lists this small RNA (575 nucleotides) under Malus domestica (apple). RNAcentral's name for it is "sRNA MD03G0092900". Lineage: Eukaryota; Viridiplantae; Streptophyta; Magnoliopsida; Rosales; Rosaceae. The record is from RNAcentral.
UGCUCAAGAAAACAGAGAGCAGAGAGUGGAUGAGAGGAGACGAGGACAGACCAGACGAAGUGAAACACCCCAACCCCAUUUUUUAUUUAAAAAUAGUUUUAAUUCUUAAUUGGUGAGCCCGUGGGGCCCACCUUGUUUUAUUUUUAUGUUUUCUGGUCUGUCUUCUCUCAGUUCUCUCUUUUCCCUCACCUCUCCCGCAACUCUCUCUCCUGUGUCUCUCUUGGACCUCAUCUCUCUCCCUUGCUGCAACCCCUUUUCCCCGAGCAACACCCUCAGCCACGCCAUCUGCUGAGGACAUCACCAUCAAAACCUCUAUAGUUUUCUCUCUCCCGUUGUAGAAAGGACGACGAAAUUUCCAGGAGCCUCCGGCGACUUUCGAGGCCAUUUCCGGCCAAAACACGGCGAGUUGGCCGGCGUGCAAGUUUCCGGCGACCUCCGAGGCUUUCGAGGCAUUUUCCGGCCAAACCACGGCGAGUUAGAUGUCUUGUGAGGGGCAAUUAUUGUGACGUUUCCGUCUUCGCUAGUGGCGCAGCUUUUGGCAACUAAGUACUGUGAGUAGACCCCUUCUAAAAUUA